GAGAGGGGCAGAGGGGGCUAGGAGCCAGGACUCCUGGGUUCUGUGACCUUGGGACUGGGUGUUCCUGACCCGGUUCUGCUUCCUCUCUGACUAUGGACGCCUGGAUUUCCGGUUCCGCUACCCAGAGGCCAAGUGCUGUGAGAAUAUUCUGCUGUAUUUUGAUGACCCCUCGCAAUGGCCAGCCGUCUACAAGCAGGGGAACAAGGUCAGAGGACGGGGGUGUCUAGGGAGACUUUCCAGCCUUCUGCAAGGCGUGAAAGCUAGAGAGAUAUCAAAUGAACGUGGC
Molecule: non-coding RNA, 286 nt
Organism: Chrysemys picta bellii (western painted turtle)
Lineage: Eukaryota; Metazoa; Chordata; Testudines; Emydidae
Source: RefSeq, a predicted model, not a curated record